RNAcentral lists this ribosomal RNA (1134 nucleotides) under Triticum aestivum (bread wheat). RNAcentral's name for it is "partial small subunit ribosomal RNA". Lineage: Eukaryota; Viridiplantae; Streptophyta; Magnoliopsida; Poales; Poaceae. The record is from RNAcentral.
AUGCCGCCGCCGCCGGCUCCGGAUACAUCGGCGGCGCCUGAGGCGAGGGCGGAGAAUUUGGCGGCACCCACAGCACCGGAGGCGAGAGCAGGGAGUGUGACGGCAUCGGCGGCACCUGAGGUGAGAGCGGAGAGUGUGGCGGCAUCCGCGGCGUCUGAGGUGAGGGCGGAGAGUGUGACGGCAUCGGCGGCGCCUGAGGUGAGAGCGGCGAGUGCGACGCCAUCGGCCGCACCUGAGGUGAGAGUGGAGAAUUUGCCUGCGACUGCGCCUGCGCACCCGCAACCGGGGCCGAGGCCGAGGCGGCGGUGGUGGUCGGGGAUCCCGUGGACGAGGCUGGUGCUCGGAGGCCUGCUAGUGGCGGCGGUCGGCUAUGCCUUCUACAAAUGGGGGCUCCCCCUCUUAUCAGACAAGGUGCUCCUGCCGAUCAUGCGAUGGGAGGCGACAUCUUUCGGGCGCCCGGUGCUGGCCCUUGUGCUGGUCAUGUCCAUGUCCGUCUUCCCUACCGUGUUCCUGCCUUCUUUCCCGUCCAUGUGGUUGACAGGGAUAAUAUUCGGCUACGGCCUGGGCCUCUUGAUCAUCCUGGUUGGCACCGGCAUAGGCAUGUCCAUACCGUACUGGAUCGGCUCGCUGUUCCUCCAUCACAUUCAUGGAUGGUUAGAGAAGAAAUGGCCUCAGCAGAUGGCUCUGAUCAAACUGGCUGGGAGAGGGGGCUGGUUCCAGCAGUUCCGGGUGGUUGCGCUGUUACGACUCUCGCCGUUCCCUUAUGUGAUGCUCAACUAUGUUGCAACCGUCACCCAGAUCAAGUUCACCCCUUACAUUUGUGGCUCGGUUGUUGGAAUGGUACCUGACGCGUUGGUCAACAUCUACAGUGGCCGGCUGAUUCUCGCACUGGCGGACCUGAAGUAUGACCAGCGUCGGAUGACAACAGUGGAGAUAGUGUACAACGUCAUCUCUGCCAUCGUCGCCGUUCUUAUCGGGGUCGGGUUUACGGUCUACGCGAGAAGAGCCUUGGAUGGCAUACAAAGCGCGGAAGGCGCGCAGCAACCUGAACCUGCUGUCGUCCCUGCUGUCCCGGCGCCGGAGCUCAGUGAUCGCCAUCGAAGUUCCAGCUCUGUGCCAGUUGAUGUUGUGUAG